CAGACCUCUAAUCGGAAAAGACUACCCGCUGAGUUUAAGCAUAUCAAUAAGCGGAGGAA
RNAcentral lists this ribosomal RNA (59 nucleotides) under Amblystegium serpens. Its description in RNAcentral is "partial 26S ribosomal RNA". It matches the Rfam family "Eukaryotic large subunit ribosomal RNA", at positions 1 to 58 of the family's 3401-position model. The record is from RNAcentral. RNAcentral also lists the same sequence under 8 other names. Lineage: Eukaryota; Viridiplantae; Streptophyta; Bryopsida; Hypnales; Amblystegiaceae.